This 550-nucleotide ribosomal RNA is filed under the name uncultured bacterium. Its description in RNAcentral is "bacterial SSU rRNA". It matches the Rfam family "Bacterial small subunit ribosomal RNA", at positions 355 to 896 of the family's 1533-position model. The record is from RNAcentral.
UAGGGAAUCUUCCACAAUGGACGCAAGUCUGAUGGAGCAACGCCGCGUGAGUGAAGAAGGUCUUCGGAUCGUAAAACUCUGUUGUUAGAGAAGAACACGAGUGAGAGUAACUGUUCAUUCGAUGACGGUAUCUAACCAGCAAGUCACGGCUAACUACGUGCCAGCAGCCGCGGUAAUACGUAGGUGGCAAGCGUUAUCCGGAUUUAUUGGGCGUAAAGAGAGUGCAGGCGGUUUUUUAAGUCUGAUGUGAAAGCCUUCGGCUUAACCGGAGAAGUGCAUCGGAAACUGGAUAACUUGAGUGCAGAAGAGGGUAGUGGAACUCCAUGUGCAGCGGUGGAAUGCGUAGAUAUAUGGAAGAACACCAGUGGCGAAGGCGGCUACCUGGUCUGCAACUGACGCUGAGACUCGAAAGCAUGGGUAGCGAACAGGAUUAGAUACCCUGGUAGUCCAUGCCGUAAACGAUGAGUGCUAGGUGUUGGAGGGUUUCCGCCCUUCAGUGCCGGAGCUAACGCAUUAAGCACUCCGCCUGGGGAGUACGACCGCAAGGUUG